GUAGAUUCCUAUCUGGCAUAACAUUACAGGAUAUACCUUUUGGCCAGUCUUGUGCUAAGACCAUCUCUACAUUAGUUCUGCACUCAGACACACCAUCAAAAUGUGGGACAUUAGGAUGGAAAAAUAGGGAAUGUGGCCCAAAAUAUGGACCCUUGGGAGAUAUGGAUCCCUGUUAUAUACUUUAAAAAGGCUACUCAUACAGUGGUUAAGGUACUGUGAAUCUAU
Non-coding RNA from Pelobates cultripes (western spadefoot toad), 225 nucleotides. The record is from the annotation of a GenBank genome assembly. NCBI's taxonomy places the organism in Eukaryota, Metazoa, Chordata, Amphibia, Anura, Pelobatidae.